AAUGAACGCUGGCGGCGCGCCUAAUACAUGCAAGUCGAGCGAGAAGACGUAGCAAUACGUUUGUAAAGCGGCGAACGGGUGAGGAAUACAUGGGUAACCUACCCUCGAGUGGGGAAUAACUAGCCGAAAGGUUAGCUAAUACCGCGUACGCUUCUUGGACUUCGGUUCAGGGAGGAAAGCGAUGCCGAGGGUAUCGCGCUCUUGGAUGGGCUCAUGUCCUAUCAGCUUGNGGUGAGGUAACGGCUCACCAAGGCUUCGACGGGUAGCUGGUCUGAGAGGACGAUCAGCCACACUGGCACUGCGACACGGGCCAGACUCCUACGGGAGGCAGC
RNAcentral lists this ribosomal RNA (332 nucleotides) under uncultured bacterium. RNAcentral's name for it is "bacterial SSU rRNA". It matches the Rfam family "Bacterial small subunit ribosomal RNA", at positions 29 to 352 of the family's 1533-position model. The record is from RNAcentral.